Long non-coding RNA from Etheostoma spectabile (orangethroat darter), 109 nucleotides. RefSeq lists it as uncharacterized. Lineage: Eukaryota; Metazoa; Chordata; Actinopteri; Perciformes; Percidae. The transcript has 3 exons. The record is from RefSeq and is a predicted model, not a curated record.
UUGAAGUGCAUAUUUAUAGUGUUUGGGCAUGGCUGGCCGAGUGGCACUAUAUCCAUGGUAUUGAAAGGGGGAUUUAAUUAUUGCAUGUUUUGUUUGGUUGUGCAUGAUC